GCCGGAAUGGCUCAGUGGUAGAGCGUCGCACUCGUAUCCCUGCGCAAUGCGAAGGCCCACGGUUCAAUCCCGUGUUUCGGCA
This 82-nucleotide transfer RNA is filed under the name Plectosphaerella cucumerina. It matches the Rfam family "tRNA". From Rfam's summary of the family: Transfer RNA (tRNA) molecules are approximately 80 nucleotides in length. Their secondary structure includes four short double-helical elements and three loops (D, anti-codon, and T loops). Further hydrogen bonds mediate the characteristic L-shaped molecular structure. tRNAs have two regions of fundamental functional importance: the anti-codon, which is responsible for specific mRNA codon recognition, and the 3' end, to which the tRNAs corresponding amino acid is attached (by aminoacyl-tRNA synthetases). tRNAs cope with the degeneracy of the genetic code in two manners: having more than one tRNA (with a specific anti-codon) for a particular amino acid; and 'wobble' base-pairing, i.e. permitting non-standard base-pairing at the 3rd anti-codon position. The record is from Rfam by way of RNAcentral. Lineage: Eukaryota; Fungi; Ascomycota; Sordariomycetes; Glomerellales; Plectosphaerellaceae.